AAUCAACGCUGGCGGCGUGCUUAACACAUGCAAGUCGAGCGGUAAGGCCCUUUCGGGGGUACACGAGCGGCGAACGGGUGAGUAACACGUGGGUGACCUGCCCUCAGCUCUGGGAUAAGCCUGGGAAACCGGGUCUAAUACUGGAUAUGACUCCAUGACGCAUGUUGUGGGGUGGAAAGCCUUGUGCGGCUGAGGAUGGGCCCGCGGCCUAUCAGCUUGUUGGUGGGGUGAUGGCCUACCAAGGCGACGACGGGUAGCCGGCCUGAGAGGGCGACCGGCCACACUGGGACUGAGACACGGCCCAGACUCCUACGGGAGGCAGCAGUGGGGAAUCUUGCGCAAU
Molecule: ribosomal RNA, 343 nt
Filed under: uncultured bacterium
Lineage: Bacteria
Description: bacterial SSU rRNA
Rfam family: Bacterial small subunit ribosomal RNA
Source: RNAcentral